Molecule: unclassified non-coding RNA, 224 nt
Filed under: Paraglomerales sp.
Lineage: Eukaryota; Fungi; Glomeromycota; Glomeromycetes; Paraglomerales
Description: partial internal transcribed spacer 2
Source: RNAcentral
GUGAAUCAUCAAAUCUUUGAACGCAAAUUGCGCCUCCUUGUGGUAUGCAUGGCUUUUUUAUUGCACCAUUUAACAAAUAAUGUGCGGGUCGCUAUGCGUCGUGCACACGUUGAUGAGCGUUUCCGAAAAACCAUGGUUUUUUGGUGGCGCAUAAUUAACGUCGUGGGCCUUUUCUUUCGAUUUGCUUGUAGUAAGUAAAUUUUCGACGCUUGGGUUGAGAAGAA